This 427-nucleotide ribosomal RNA is filed under the name uncultured soil bacterium. Its description in RNAcentral is "bacterial SSU rRNA". It matches the Rfam family "Bacterial small subunit ribosomal RNA", at positions 26 to 434 of the family's 1533-position model. The record is from RNAcentral.
AGGACGAACGCUGGCGGCGUGCUUAACACAUGCAAGUCGAGCGGAAAGGCCCACUUGUGGGUACUCGAGCGGCGAACGGGUGAGUAACACGUGAGUAAUCUGCCCUCCACUCUGGGAUAACGUUCAGAAAUGGGUGCUAAUACCGGAUGUACACAGGCUUCUGCAUGGGGGGUUUGUGGUAAAGGUUUUUUCUGGUGGGGGAUGUGCUCGCGGCCUAUCAGCUUGUUGGUGGGGUAAUGGCCUACCAAGGCUUUGACGGGUAGCCGGCCUGAGAGGGUGACCGGCCACACUGGGACUGAGACACGGCCCAGACUCCGUACGGGGAGGCGGCAGGUGGGGAAUAGUUGGACAAGUGGGACGGAAGCCUGGAUCCGAGCCGAACGCCGCGGUGGAGGGAUGGACGGCCGUUUCGGGUUCGUAAACCCUC